CGGCAACAGCUCAAAUUUGAAAUCUGGCCUCUCGGGGUCCGAGUUGUAAUUUGUAGAGGAUGUUUUGGGUACCGCCCCGGUCUAAAUUUCUUGGAACAGAAUGUCAGAGAGGGUGAGAAUCCCGUAUGCGACUGGGUGCCUAAGCUCAUGUGAAGCUCCUUCGAC
This 165-nucleotide ribosomal RNA is filed under the name Herpotrichiellaceae sp. Its description in RNAcentral is "partial large subunit ribosomal RNA". It matches the Rfam family "Eukaryotic large subunit ribosomal RNA", at positions 99 to 261 of the family's 3401-position model. The record is from RNAcentral. Lineage: Eukaryota; Fungi; Ascomycota; Eurotiomycetes; Chaetothyriales; Herpotrichiellaceae.